GCCUGGUUAGCUCAAUCGGUAGAGCAUUUGACUCUUAAUCAAAAGGUUGCGGGUUCGAGCCCCGCAUUGGGCU
Molecule: transfer RNA, 73 nt
Filed under: Yamadazyma tenuis ATCC 10573
Lineage: Eukaryota; Fungi; Ascomycota; Pichiomycetes; Serinales; Debaryomycetaceae
Also listed under: 1 other name
Description: Candida tenuis ATCC 10573 tRNA
Rfam family: tRNA
About the family: Transfer RNA (tRNA) molecules are approximately 80 nucleotides in length. Their secondary structure includes four short double-helical elements and three loops (D, anti-codon, and T loops).
Source: Rfam by way of RNAcentral